CGGUGUAGCUCAGCUGGCUAGAGCAGCUGAUUUGUAAUCAGCAGGUCGUGGGUUCGAGUCCCUCCAUCG
Molecule: transfer RNA, 69 nt
Filed under: Flavobacterium columnare
Lineage: Bacteria; Pseudomonadati; Bacteroidota; Flavobacteriia; Flavobacteriales; Flavobacteriaceae
Description: tRNA-Thr
Rfam family: tRNA
About the family: Transfer RNA (tRNA) molecules are approximately 80 nucleotides in length. Their secondary structure includes four short double-helical elements and three loops (D, anti-codon, and T loops).
Source: RNAcentral